AACGAACGCUGGCGGCAUGCCUAACACAUGCAAGUCGAACGAGACCUUCGGGUCUAGUGGCGCACGGGUGCGUAACGCGUGGGAAUCUGCCCUUCGGUUGGGAAUAACUGAGAGAAAUUUCAGCUAAUACCUUAUAAUGUCUUCGGACCAAAGAUUUAUCGCCGAGGGAUGAGCCCGCGUAGGAUUAGGUAGUUGGUGGGGUAAUGGCCUACCAAGCCGACGAUCCUUAGCUGGUCUGAGAGGAUGAUCAGCCACACUGGGACUGAGACACGGCCCAGACUCCUACGGGAGGCAGCAGUGGGGAAUAUUGGACAAUGGGCGAAAGCCUGAUCCAGCAAUGCCGCGUGAGUGAUGAAGGCCUUAGGGUUGUAAAGCUCUUUUACCCGGGAUGAUUAUGACAGUACCGGGAGAAUAAGCGCCGGCUAACUCCGUG
This 433-nucleotide ribosomal RNA is filed under the name uncultured bacterium. RNAcentral describes it as "partial 16S ribosomal RNA". It matches the Rfam family "Bacterial small subunit ribosomal RNA", at positions 29 to 507 of the family's 1533-position model. The record is from RNAcentral.